UGAAAAGGCUCAAAGGAUUACGCCGUCAACUGACAACAGAUGCAUUUACAAGCCACUAAAUCCACAGCUAACACUGUUAACACAAUUUAUUUCAGCUUUGAAUUCAAUAAGCCGGUUUAAAAGAUAAAGUUUCUCCUGAGAUGCCAAUCGCAGUUCUUCAGUAUGUGUGUCUGAUUCUGUGUUAUGUUCCCCAUUCUGUGCAAUGAAUCAUGUACAGUAAUUGUUGUCCUUUUUCCUGUCUGUUUUACAGUGUGCUCUCCGUGUGCUGCUCUCAGUCUUCAGAUUUUGGCAUCAGUGGCAGGUGCUCAGUGCGGCAUGACAUGGAGAUAAGCUGUGCUGAAAUGUCCCUGUGGAACACAAAGGCAGUUGGAGGCUUUAAAUAAAAUGAUGGCCUGAUUAUGAGAGAGAGGGAGAGAGAAUGAAAAAAGGAAUGAUGGAGAGAAUGAAGCACUGCCAGUCUGGACCAAAGAUAAAGCACAUAUUUGGGGUGAUUGAUAUUACUACUUUUGAGUUGCAAGUGUGAGACAAAAUACAGUUUUUUUGUGGACAUCCCAAGAAGAAAUGAGAGAACAUUUCCUUUGAAAUGAAGGACAGAUGCAUGCAGAACUGAGAAGACGAUGG
This is a long non-coding RNA of Cyprinus carpio (common carp), 621 nucleotides long. Lineage: Eukaryota; Metazoa; Chordata; Actinopteri; Cypriniformes; Cyprinidae. The record is from Ensembl.